Molecule: non-coding RNA, 28 nt
Filed under: Xenopus tropicalis (tropical clawed frog)
Lineage: Eukaryota; Metazoa; Chordata; Amphibia; Anura; Pipidae
Also listed under: 3 other names
Source: RNAcentral
GGGAUUAGCUCAAAUGGUAGAGCGCUCG